RNAcentral lists this ribosomal RNA (206 nucleotides) under uncultured bacterium. RNAcentral's name for it is "partial 16S ribosomal RNA". It matches the Rfam family "Bacterial small subunit ribosomal RNA", at positions 568 to 774 of the family's 1533-position model. The record is from RNAcentral.
CGCGUAGGCGGACUCUUAAGUCGGGGUGAAAGCCCAGGGCUCAACCCUGGAAUUGCCUUCGAUACUGAGAGUCUUGAGUUCGGAAGAGGUUGGUGGAACUGCGAGUGUAGAGGUGAAAUUCGUAGAUAUUCGCAAGAACACCAGUGGCGAAGGCGGCCAACUGGUCCGAUACUGACGCUGAGGCGCGAAAGCGUGGGGAGCAAACA